RNAcentral lists this long non-coding RNA (1758 nucleotides) under Spirodela polyrhiza (greater duckweed). Its description in RNAcentral is "long non-coding RNA (SPOL_LNC001070)". Lineage: Eukaryota; Viridiplantae; Streptophyta; Magnoliopsida; Alismatales; Araceae. The record is from RNAcentral.
GAAGAGGAAACGCCCGGCGAGGACGCGAGACGAAGAUAGAGUCACUUUUGUCAACAACUUCUAACGGAUAUAUAUAUCAGCGGAGAUAAUCUGCACCGCGGAUGGUUCACAUGCUUUUGCGUGGACACGGCUCUCGCCGCACAGCCACAUACGAUAGAGGAGGGGUUCACGUUCGGUGGCAGAAGCAGCUGGUCGCGGCGGCGGCAACGGCGAUGGGGUUGUGGGUUCUGAUGAUUUGCUUCCUGGCGCUGCCGACCAUCGUACAAAGCCAAUCUUCGAUAGGUAUGUUGCUCUUUUCUGUUCCCGAUUUCUUCUGAUGCGAUUAGUGUAGGUAAAAAGAUUGUGCAUGCGAUUUGUUGAGGAGGCCAAAUCAGCGUAGGAUGCAGGUAGAGGAAGCCACUUUUUACGACUGCCGAUGUUUAAACUUUCUCGUCCUAAGAAUUUUUUUCGUAUCAAAUGCCGCCUUAAUAGAUUAAAAUAAGAGUAAAUUGUCUUUAGAAAGGGAUAGGAGGAGAGAAAGAGAGAAUGGUACAAAGGUAAAUGAUAAAAAAUCAACAUCUUAGGUCUAAAGUGGGUCAACCUCUUUUAGUAAACGCUCACGGCUGCCUUCUCCAGGGUGACAAACCUUUAACAUUUGAUACGAAUGCGGUAAUACCAAGUAAUUCAUGAAACUAACAAAAAUUUAAUGUACUUAAGGCUGUCAUAAAUCCAUUGACAACUGAUCCUUUUUCAGUAAAACAUUAACUCAUUAAAACAUGUAGCAACUUGUUCAUGAAAAAAAUGAUGAUAAAUCUCAAUGUAGUUAUUUUUAUUUGGAACACUAGAUUUUAUUCAUUAACACAAUAUAUCACUAUUCGAUUAACUUGUGUCAAAUUAAAAUAUUCCAUGGUCCUCCUCAUCUAUAUACCUAGUUGUGUAACUCAUGAUGCAGCACAUAAUUUAAUAUGAUGAUAAGAAUGUGGUUUCAUCAUUAUUUAAACUCCAAACCGAUGUAUCUAAUUCAAGAUUGAAAAAUAAAUCUACUUCUACUCUUCUUGUUAUCUAUGAUUCAUCCUAAUCAAUGCCAGUAAAAUCAUCUAAUUUAAAAUUAGUAACAUAACUGCCUAAAAUUUAAUAAUUACUAAUCUGAAAAAUAUAAUAAAUAUUUCUCUUUGCUGCUAAAAGAUGACAUGGUAUAUUAUGAGUUUAAUACAUAACGAUGAGACUUCUCUAAAAUCAUUCAGAGUAGAACAAGUGUUUUAGAGGAGUAAAACAAGUGUGUUAGUGGAAGCUGAAGUCUAUGGGGAAAGUGCGAAGUGGAAGCAACAUGUUAAUCUCCCAAGUUCCACCUGAGCCAUCUGUCUGCUGGUCUGAGAAAAAUCUGAGCAACCACUUCUUCUUGAUGUUAGGUCGCCGUUGAUUCCGAGCCUAUCGUUCCUUGAUAUCAAGAGUGAUUCAGCAUAGGUCAUCCGCAGCAUACAGACAAAAGAAACCGUGCGGUUAGAGCUCUCUCGUCGAACCGGGAGGACACUGUGACUCUGAGUCAACGAAGGUGGCCGUGAUCUUUCAUUUUCCUUCCCGUCAUAUACGCCGACGACCCAGACUGGAGUCUCAAGUCUCCGGAAAUAACAAGAAAAAAGACCCAGCCGGAUAAUCUCCAUUCUCCGUGAGUCGCAUACCUGCUUGUCCUGGAUAGAACGUCGGACUGGCGGCAGGCCUCUGCUGAUUCCAGUCCUCUUAUCCCGAACAUCGACAGGAGACCGUCAUCGCCCAUCCGCC